GACGAACGCUGGCGGCGUGCUUAACACAUGCAAGUCGAACGGAAAGGCCCUGCUUUUGUGGGGUGCUCGAGUGGCGAACGGGUGAGUAACACGUGAGUAACCUGCCCUUGACUUUGGGAUAACUUCAGGAAACUGGGGCUAAUACCGGAUAGGAGCUCCUGCUGCAUGGUGGGGGUUGGAAAGUUUCGGCGGUUGGGGAUGGACUCGCGGCUUAUCAGCUUGUUGGUGGGGUAGUGGCUUACCAAGGGUUUGACGGGUAGCCGGCCUGAGAGGGUGACCGGCCACAUUGGGACUGCGAUACGGCCCAGAAUCGUACGGGCGGCAGCAGUGGGGAAUAUUGCACAAUGGGCGGAAGCCUGAUGCAGCAACGCCGCGUGCGGGAUAACGGCCUUCGGGUUGUGAACCGCUUUCGCCUGUAACGAAGCGUGAGUGACGGUAAUGGGUAAAGAAGCACCGGCUAACUACGUG
This 468-nucleotide ribosomal RNA is filed under the name uncultured bacterium. RNAcentral describes it as "partial 16S ribosomal RNA". It matches the Rfam family "Bacterial small subunit ribosomal RNA", at positions 28 to 507 of the family's 1533-position model. The record is from RNAcentral.